GAUGAACGCUGGCGGCGUGCCUAAUACAUGCAAGUCGAGCGAACGGACGAGAAGCUUGCUUCUCUGAUGUUAGCGGCGGACGGGUGAGUAACACGUGGAUAACCUACCUAUAAGACUGGGAUAACUUCGGGAAACCGGAGCUAAUACCGGAUAAUAUUUUGAACCGCAUGGUUCAAAAGUGAAAGACGGUCUUGCUGUCACUUAUAGAUGGAUCCGCGCUGCAUUAGCUAGUUGGUAAGGUAACGGCUUACCAAGGCAACGAUGCAUAGCCGACCUGAGAGGGUGAUCGGCCACACUGGAACUGAGACACGGUCCAGACUCCUACGGGAGGCAGUAGUAGGGAAUCUUCCGCAAUGGGCGAAAGCCUGACGGAGCAACGCCGCGUGAGUGAUGAAGGUCUUCGGAUCGUAAAACUCUGAUAUUAGGGAAGAACAUAUGUGUAAGUAACUGUGCACAUCUUGACGGUACCUAAUCAGAAAGCCACGGCUAACUACGUG
RNAcentral lists this ribosomal RNA (497 nucleotides) under uncultured bacterium. RNAcentral describes it as "partial 16S ribosomal RNA". It matches the Rfam family "Bacterial small subunit ribosomal RNA", at positions 28 to 507 of the family's 1533-position model. The record is from RNAcentral.